CGAUAGUUUAUCUAAAUGCUAGGGUAACACUAUACUUAUUGCUACUUUGUUUACAUUAUUUUUAAUUGUUUUUAUUUUGAUUUCAGGUGGAGUAUGCAGCCGUGGAGAACAUCACUACGUCUAUUGGUCUCGUCAUCAGCUGCGAAGUGGAAUCCUUGCGAGUGUCGGCGCUAAACUGGGACUGCAGGACAGCAUCAACAGGGCUGAAGCUGGCCGAGGUCCAGUGCAUCGUCAUUCUGGAUGUGGAUUUCGAUUUUCUGUGAAGUUUCUUUUCAGCCGCCGCCAUCAUCUGGAUUCUGGAGCUGCCGCUGUUCAUCAUCAGGUUCUCUGCUGGGGCCGUCAUUUGCCUGCGUAGCAGCUGCAUUUGCGCUACUGCGGCUGAUUUCCAUGUUGUGUGUUGCAAAUGGAUUGCGCAGCCAGUUCUCGCGUCUGACUUGGAGCAGUAUUGUUUGGAUGGCUGUCAGGCUUCUGUUGCUGUUUGGAUUGUGCUCUUCAAUCAUUGCGGUAUACCUUGGCCUGGCCAGCCUUCUUGGAAUGUAUGGAUGCGUUGCGAUCUCACAGGCAAUUGCUACUUGGAGAUCCGCAUGCAGUGCAUUGUUGCUCACAUACCAGGGAGCAUUCGUCAUUGCUCUGAGAGCUUUGUUUUGGAUCGUCUGGAGCUUGGCCAUUUGCAUGCUUGAAGUCAGUGGCCCCCAGACUGGCAUGGCAUACUGCC
This is an RNA transcript of Drosophila pseudoobscura, 715 nucleotides long. RefSeq lists it as uncharacterized. Lineage: Eukaryota; Metazoa; Arthropoda; Insecta; Diptera; Drosophilidae. The record is from RefSeq and is a predicted model, not a curated record. The transcript has 3 exons.